Non-coding RNA from Pimephales promelas (fathead minnow), 657 nucleotides. The record is from RefSeq and is a predicted model, not a curated record. NCBI's taxonomy places the organism in Eukaryota, Metazoa, Chordata, Actinopteri, Cypriniformes, Leuciscidae.
CAUACCAGCAGGUGCUCAGUUACUUGUGUCGAAGCCCUAAAGAAGAGCAGAAGUUGAGAACGGUCUCUGCCGUAUGUCUGAGGGAUAGCGGCGAGCGAGGAGAACAUCUGACCUCUUGCUCUCAGUAACAAGGAUUCAUCCUGUUGUGGAACACAAAUCCAACAGGGAAUCUCUGUUACUGGGGGUUAAGGUUCAGCGUUUCACUUGGUGGAGGUCAGAAGAUGCCGGAGACACCUUGAAAUCAAGGCAAAUGACAUUGAAAAAUGCUUGACUUCCUAUGAAUUGACCUGUGCAAUGAGAGGCCAAUGUUAAAAUUGCCCUUUUGCAUAAAAUUAACACAUUUAUCUCAUUAGAGAAUAUGAGAACAUACAAAGCUCUUGUCUAUAUUGUAUAUAUUAAGUCAAUUUUGAAAUGUUGGUCUAUUUUGCUCACAUAAUUGGUCUUCUUUUAGACUGGUGGAAAGAAAACACCCUAAGUGUGUAUUUGAUGACACUUUAUCUAUUUGCGUCUGUAGACUUCAAUUACAAUCUUCACUUCAGCAGCUUUACACACACACACCAAACUUUCCAGUUUUAUUCAUAUUUAUAUUCUGAAGGUUUUCACAGAGGAGUUUGUUGAUAUAUCAUUCACCUGACAUUAAACAUUUUAUUCCUAAAA